RNAcentral lists this long non-coding RNA (248 nucleotides) under Olea europaea (common olive). RNAcentral describes it as "long non-coding RNA (OEUR_LNC015434)". Lineage: Eukaryota; Viridiplantae; Streptophyta; Magnoliopsida; Lamiales; Oleaceae. The record is from RNAcentral.
GAAAAGUACUUGGAUUCUUUGAGUUUCUCGAUGAUUAUUUUCUUGAUCUCACUCGCUAGCAUAAGUAUCAACUCAUUCUGAAUUUUGUGUCCAAGAUAAUGAUAAUGAAUUUCUUUAUUUUGAAUUCGACGAAUAUGCUCUUGCAUUAUAGGAUCAAACUCAGCAAUCAUUUGAAUUAAGCUUAAGAAGAUACCAUUAUUUUCUUGGUAUAUCUUCUCAUUAUCUCCACGAAACGCCAAAUUAUUUUC